Molecule: long non-coding RNA, 690 nt
Organism: Bactrocera tryoni
Lineage: Eukaryota; Metazoa; Arthropoda; Insecta; Diptera; Tephritidae
Exons: 2
Source: RefSeq, a predicted model, not a curated record
GAUGCAUUUUUGCCUUUAUCGUAGUAGUACUGUAAAAUAUGCCGUAUUUUCUCUUUAUUUUGCUCCAUGUGUGCGACGCUAUUACUCACGAAUAGGGUUGCCAACCAUACUUUAUUAUAAAGUAUCCUACUUUAUUUUCCAAAAGUAUACUUUAUACUUUUGUAUAAAAAUAAAGCAUCGAAAAUACUUUAUUUCAUCCAUUUACAAGCGAACAACUAUUUAUCGAUAGUUUAAGUUCAAUUAAAAUGAACGUACGAUGAAAAUUAUCAUUAAUUGCUAAACACACCGACACAUGUUACUGGUGCCAUCUUUCACAAAUGUAAUAUGUUCGUCCCAUGUCUUACAAAUAUAUGGCAUGUGCUAUCGCUUAAACAUCAAAUUACUCCUGCCAUCUCUUACAAAAGUCAAGUUUUCUGUCCAUUGGAAAGUAAAUGUUACUUUUUCCAAAAUGUGUUCUUCUGAUAGUGAUAUACCAGCUACGCCAAAAAAAAACGAAAAUCAGCAAAUUAAAAGUUAUGCAAAAAUACAAACCCGAGUGGGAAAAACAGUACGGAUGGGUAACAAGUGAUUCCCAAAAUAAAACUAAUGCAAGGUGUACAAUAUGUGCAGUGAAUUUUAAAAUAGGUUCAGGUGGCAUUGGCCAGAUUAAGCAACAUUAAGAAACUCAAAAACACAAGUUUAAAGCUGAAG